AGGACGAACGCUGGCGGCGUGCUUAACACAUGCAAGUCGAACGGUGAAGCCCUUCGGGGUGGAUCAGUGGCGAACGGGUGAGUAACACGUGAGCAAUCUGCCCUUGACUCUGGGAUAACUUCGGGAAACCGGAGCUAAUACCGGAUAUGACAUACGGCCGCAUGGUCUGUGUGUGGAAAGAUUUAUCGGUCAAGGAUGAGCUCGCGGCCUAUCAGCUUGUUGGUGGGGUAAUGGCCUACCAAGGCGACGACGGGUAGCCGGCCUGAGAGGGCGACCGGCCACGACUGGGACUGAGACACGGCCCAGACUCCUACGGGAGGCAGCAGUGGGGAAUAUUGCGCAAUGGGCGAAAGCCUGACGCAGCGACGCCGCGUGAGGAUGAAGGCCUUCGGGUCGUAAACCUCUUUCAGCAGGGAAGAAGCGAAAGUGACGGUACCUGCAGAAGAAGCACCGGCUAACUACGUGCCAGCAGCCGC
This 476-nucleotide ribosomal RNA is filed under the name uncultured soil bacterium. RNAcentral describes it as "bacterial SSU rRNA". It matches the Rfam family "Bacterial small subunit ribosomal RNA", at positions 26 to 518 of the family's 1533-position model. The record is from RNAcentral.